Molecule: long non-coding RNA, 1198 nt
Filed under: Salvia miltiorrhiza (redroot sage)
Lineage: Eukaryota; Viridiplantae; Streptophyta; Magnoliopsida; Lamiales; Lamiaceae
Description: long non-coding RNA (SMIL_LNC002326)
Source: RNAcentral
UCAGCCACUUUUUUCUUGCCCAUCAAGCAUAUAUUGGAUUUAUAAAUAGAUACAAAGCUCAAUGCAUUUGACACCAGUUCAUUCAAGCAAAACACAAGUGCAAGAGCUCGAAACUAUUAUUCAAACAUCUUACCGGACAUCUAAUGGAAAACACAUCUUGAAUGGGAGACUCGUGUGCCUAACAUUCUGUGAGUGGGAGACUCAUUUGCUAGGGCUGAUUGGUAAGUUUGACUGUUUGAUAUUCAUAUAAUAGCUUCAUUAAAUUGAUAUGAUCAGAAGUGAUUUCUUUUCUUAUCAAUUACACUCAAUAAGAGGGAUUCUAUUGAGUGAUUUCACGUAUCUUCAUUGUAAAAUGAAUUUUUAUAGUGAACAUACACUGCAAUUAAUAAAUAUUGCAGCAUAAAAUCAUUCAUUGUGCGUACUUUUAUUGUAUGUUGCUUUUCUAUUUUUCAUAGGAUAAUGUUGGGUUGAUUGUUUUAUCAUUCUAUUCAAUAUUUCUGUGUUUGCGAAAGCAACAGAACUUUCAAAUUUAGUGAAAUUUUUUUAUUUUAAAUUUUAUUCAUAAUUAAAUUAAAAAAAUAAAAUAGAAAAUCUAUUUGAAGCCCUGCUCCGGGUGGAGUGGCUCUAAGUGCAUCUCCAACCGUGAGCCCUUCCCCAUAAUGGGGUUGGACUCUCUACCUCUAGCUCUCUAAUUUUAUCUUUUAUUAUUUUUUUUAAAUAUAUUUUUAAAUUAAAUUAAACUCGAGCAUGAAUGCUUUUAAAUCUAAAAACAUAUUGAGUUUCGUUGCAUUUCAUUUCAAUUUGCAUCCCUUUUUUUAUUGGAGAUACAGACUCACACACAUAAUAUAAUUCUUCUAAAUGAUUUAAAUUUCUAACAUAUUAAUUAAAAGAAAAAUAAUUUAUUAAUUGCGUUGCGCUUGAUUUUCUUUUUCCUUUUAUUUUUGAGGGAGAAUUUAUUUGCAAUAAAUUUUAGAUUUGGGUGGUAACCGCCAAACGUAGGACCGUUACACAUACAUUCACAUGUAGUCCCCACCCCCACCUAAUACAGCUUCAUGUAUCUUCAUUUCCCGUAAAAGCAGAAAAUUGAAAAUAUCCAAUUAUCUUCAAGUUGAUCUCCUGUGCAUUCAAAUGUAUAGAAAAAACGAGUCGGGUUAAGGUUGGAGUGCGGGUCGGGCUAAGCGGACUAGGCGCAGGCUAG